CAAAGACAUACUAAUGAAUGUUUCUAUGAUUUACUAUUACUAAACUAGACAUUCCACUUUCAUUAGAAGAGAUGAUUAUUCUGAAAUUCUCAUCUAUGAAACUAUAUUUCCAUUUUGAAAUUCUUGAAGAAAAUAAAUUGACAGUAUCUCUUUUGACUGGAACUCAUAAUAAGAUUGUAAAAGAUUGUGUAACUCAAAUUAAAACAAGAAAAAGCCAAAGGAAAAAAAGGAUAUGAUACUCCAAACACUUAUCAUGUUCAAAGAAAAAAACAAAUUGAAACAAAAAGAGAAAGGGAGAGGGAAAGAGAAAGAAAAAGGGAAAGAAAAAGAAAAAGAAAAAGAAAAAGAAAAAGAAAAAGAGAAAGAAAAAGAGAAAGAACAAGAAAUAGAACAAGAAAGAACUAAUAAGAGAAAAAGACAGGAAAACCAACAAGAAAAUUCAAAUAAAAAAAGAAAAACAAGUAUUGUUCCGGCCAAAAGUAUGUGGACACCAUGCAUUCU
This 501-nucleotide ribosomal RNA is filed under the name uncultured bacterium. RNAcentral's name for it is "partial 16S ribosomal RNA". The record is from RNAcentral.